Molecule: ribosomal RNA, 2031 nt
Filed under: Shigella sonnei
Lineage: Bacteria; Pseudomonadati; Pseudomonadota; Gammaproteobacteria; Enterobacterales; Enterobacteriaceae
Description: partial 23S ribosomal RNA
Rfam family: Bacterial large subunit ribosomal RNA
Source: RNAcentral
GGCAAGGGGGUCAUCCCGACUUACCAACCCGAUGCAAACUGCGAAUACCGGAGAAUGUUAUCACGGGAGACACACGGCGGGUGCUAACGUCCGUCGUGAAGAGGGAAACAACCCAGACCGCCAGCUAAGGUCCCAAAGUCAUGGUUAAGUGGGAAACGAUGUGGGAAGGCCCAGACAGCCAGGAUGUUGGCUUAGAAGCAGCCAUCAUUUAAAGAAAGCGUAAUAGCUCACUGGUCGAGUCGGCCUGCGCGGAAGAUGUAACGGGGCUAAACCAUGCACCGAAGCUGCGGCAGCGACGCUUAUGCGUUGUUGGGUAGGGGAGCGUUCUGUAAGCCUGCGAAGGUGUGCUGUGAGGCAUGCUGGAGGUAUCAGAAGUGCGAAUGCUGACAUAAGUAACGAUAAAGCGGGUGAAAAGCCCGCUCGCCGGAAGACCAAGGGUUCCUGUCCAACGUUAAUCGGGGCAGGGUGAGUCGACCCCUAAGGCGAGGCCGAAAGGCGUAGUCGAUGGGAAACAGGUUAAUAUUCCUGUACUUGGUGUUACUGCGAAGGGGGGACGGAGAAGGCUAUGUUGGCCGGGCGACGGUUGUCCCGGUUUAAGCGUGUAGGCUGGUUUUCCAGGCAAAUCCGGAAAAUCAAGGCUGAGGCGUGAUGACGAGGCACUACGGUGCUGAAGCAACAAAUGCCCUGCUUCCAGGAAAAGCCUCUAAGCAUCAGGUAACAUCAAAUCGUACCCCAAACCGACACAGGUGGUCAGGUAGAGAAUACCAAGGCGCUUGAGAGAACUCGGGUGAAGGAACUAGGCAAAAUGGUGCCGUAACUUCGGGAGAAGGCACGCUGAUAUGUAGGUGAAGUCCCUUGCGGAUGGAGCUGAAAUCAGUCGAAGAUACCAGCUGGCUGCAACUGUUUAUUAAAAACACAGCACUGUGCAAACACGAAAGUGGACGUAUACGGUGUGACGCCUGCCCGGUGCCGGAAGGUUAAUUGAUGGGGUCAGCGCAAGCGAAGCUCUUGAUCGAAGCCCCGGUAAACGGCGGCCGUAACUAUAACGGUCCUAAGGUAGCGAAAUUCCUUGUCGGGUAAGUUCCGACCUGCACGAAUGGCGUAAUGAUGGCCAGGCUGUCUCCACCCGAGACUCAGUGAAAUUGAACUCGCUGUGAAGAUGCAGUGUACCCGCGGCAAGACGGAAAGACCCCGUGAACCUUUACUAUAGCUUGACACUGAACAUUGAGCCUUGAUGUGUAGGAUAGGUGGGAGGCUUUGAAGUGUGGACGCCAGUCUGCAUGGAGCCGGCCUUGAAAUACCACCCUUUAAUGUUUGAUGUUCUAACGUGGACCCGUGAUCCGGGUUGCGGACAGUGUCUGGUGGGUAGUUUGACUGGGGCGGUCUCCUCCUAAAGAGUAACGGAGGAGCACGAAGGUUGGCUAAUCCUGGUCGGACAUCAGGAGGUUAGUGCAAUGGCAUAAGCCAGCUUGACUGCGAGCGUGACGGCGCGAGCAGGUGCGAAAGCAGGUCAUAGUGAUCCGGUGGUUCUGAAUGGAAGGGCCAUCGCUCAACGGAUAAAAGGUACUCCGGGGAUAACAGGCUGAUACCGCCCAAGAGUUCAUAUCGACGGCGGUGUUUGGCACCUCGAUGUCGGCUCAUCACAUCCUGGGGCUGAAGUAGGUCCCAAGGGUAUGGCUGUUCGCCAUUUAAAGUGGUACGCGAGCUGGGUUUAGAACGUCGUGAGACAGUUCGGUCCCUAUCUGCCGUGGGCGCUGGAGAACUGAGGGGGGCUGCUCCUAGUACGAGAGGACCGGAGUGGACGCAUCACUGGUGUUCGGGUUGUCAUGCCAAUGGCACUGCCCGGUAGCUAAAUGCGGAAGAGAUAAGUGCUGAAAGCAUCUAAGCACGAAACUUGCCCCGAGAUGAGUUCUCCCUGACCCUUUAAGGGUCCUGAAGGAACGUUGAAGACGACGACGUUGAUAGGCCGGGUGUGUAAGCGCAGCGAUGCGUUGAGCUAACCGGUACUAAUGAACCGUGAGGCUUAACCUU